RNAcentral lists this ribosomal RNA (253 nucleotides) under uncultured bacterium. RNAcentral describes it as "partial 16S ribosomal RNA". It matches the Rfam family "Bacterial small subunit ribosomal RNA", at positions 524 to 776 of the family's 1533-position model. The record is from RNAcentral.
UACGAAGGGGGCUAGCGUUGUUCGGAAUUACUGGGCGUAAAGCGCACGUAGGCGGACAUUUAAGUCAGGGGUGAAAUCCCAGAGCUCAACUCUGGAACUGCCUUUGAUACUGGGUGUCUUGAGUUCGAGAGAGGUGGGUGGAAUUCCUAGUGUAGAGGUGAAAUUCGUAGAUAUUAGGAAGAACACCGGUGGCGAAGGCGGCCCACUGGCUCGACACUGACGCUGAGGUGCGAAAGCGUGGGGAGCAAACAGG